Molecule: microRNA precursor, 101 nt
Filed under: Ixodes scapularis (black-legged tick)
Lineage: Eukaryota; Metazoa; Arthropoda; Arachnida; Ixodida; Ixodidae
Description: microRNA isc-mir-219 precursor
Gene: isc-mir-219
Rfam family: mir-219 microRNA precursor family (bases 13-85)
About the family: The hairpin precursors (represented here) are predicted based on base pairing and cross-species conservation -- their extents are not known. In this case the mature sequence is excised from the 5' arm of the hairpin.
Source: miRBase by way of RNAcentral
ACGGAACCAGUUCCAAGCUGUGAUUGUCCAAACGCAAUUCUUGUGCGAUCGUUACCAAGAACUGUGUCGGGACAUCAGGGUUUGGAACUGAUUGCGACACA